Poecilia latipinna (sailfin molly) is the source of this 1304-nucleotide long non-coding RNA. RefSeq lists it as uncharacterized. NCBI's taxonomy places the organism in Eukaryota, Metazoa, Chordata, Actinopteri, Cyprinodontiformes, Poeciliidae. The record is from RefSeq and is a predicted model, not a curated record. The transcript is spliced from 6 exons.
UACACACUCAUGUACAGUAGGUGGCGGUAUGCACCUGAAACUCGCUUGCGAUCCGCCAUAGUAAAAAAGAAGAAGAAGAGCUACGUCGGCCACUCCCACACGCCUCUCCUGAUCUGAACAAAGAGACAAACACUGUUUCCCCUCAGCGUCGCGCUAGGCGGACGGCAACGCAGCUGAUCAUCACAAGAAGAAAACAAGUAGACCCAAUAGUAGCCACGAAAGACCAGCACUUCCUCCCGGAACCCAAAGCCGGCCUGGAAUCGUGCAGGCCCUCACUCUGAGAUGGGGGUCGAUGAAAGAAGGCAUGGGGCUACAGCUGGAGUGUUUGAAGUCUGAGAGGUGAACCUCCACUCUUGUCUUUUUCAGGAGUGGACGUCCCAGCUGCUGCCCAGCAACUGUAACAUGUCGGCAAAUCAGCAUUUUUACAGAGCUGUGUGCACAGGAACGUGUCAAUUCCUAAACAAGGGAGCGGAUUUGUGUGGAAAAAGAUAUGAGAUCACUCUUUCCCUUUUGUUCUCCCUGGGGUGUCGCAUCAUCAUAUGUUAUUGGAUGCGAGACGCGGGACACUCCCCGAUCCCGCUAUACCCAUCUGCUACUUAUGGAGGACUUUAGGAGGCGUCUGAAAAAAGAGGAAAAGGCCACAUGACACGACGCGCAGAUCCGACCGCAGAUGAACAUGGGUGAGGAACCCGUGCAUUUGGAAGAGAAUGAAACAUGUAGGAAAAGGAAGGCAGUAUAUCACUGCAAAAAAAGAAAAAAGAAAAAUGACAAGGGUCACAUAUGCUUGUGGAGAGGGAAGAAUGCAGCCACGAAGAUCACAAGCUGAGAAAUAAUUUAUCACUGCUCCCUCUAUCGUUUCUUCUGGCAGAGACAGAUGGCCUGGAAUCCUGUCGGAUCCCUUCUGGUUUGGCUUGAAAUUUUUGCCGGUUAUGUGUCUUGUGCACAUGCACAGAUUAACUUGCUCACACACACACACACACACACACACAGAAUGAGGCUGGUUUUUAUCCAGUUGUGACAGAACUCAAGUGUAUAUUUAUCCCUUCUCCCCACUAUAUGAGCUAAAGAAACAUGUGCAUGUCUUACCUACACGUGUUAUGCUGAAUUUACGCUAAUAGUUUCUUUUUAACUGCUGACAUGAAGGCUGGCUGUAAAGGUCAUGUGCUAUGAGCAAAAAUCUAAUUGUCUUUUGUAUAAAGAUGUAACAGCUGGGGUGUUACUUUAAACUUAACUAAUGUACAUAAGAACCUCAUAUUCAUCAGUCUAAUAAUCUUUAGACUGGUAUUAUAAAACAAUAUGAUGGA